This is a long non-coding RNA of Dunckerocampus dactyliophorus (ringed pipefish), 386 nucleotides long. RefSeq lists it as uncharacterized. The transcript has 3 exons. The record is from RefSeq and is a predicted model, not a curated record. Lineage: Eukaryota; Metazoa; Chordata; Actinopteri; Syngnathiformes; Syngnathidae.
GUCCAUUGUGCGUGUGCUAACUUUAUCUCAUGCCGCACAGAUAGACUACUACUGUAUUUUUACCAUUUUUCUUUCACCUCAUAUUUGGUCUGAAAUGCUGAUACAAUGUGGGAAUGCAUAAAGUCAUCAUGGUGUCUGUGUUGACCUCGCUGCCACAUCCUUUCUUUGCCAACAACACGUCUUCAGUGAAGAUGUGCCCUACAGGACCAAUGGUGUUGAUUUUGUGAAAGCUAAGGCUGCUGGACGGCCACCUCCAUCGCUGACCCGAAAGAGCGAAUCAGACCCUAUCACAGCUCUCGUCACGCCGCUGUAGGCCGAGCCGUGUGACAGUGGCGUAAUGCUGAUCAGAUAGCUGUGUGGAGUCACUGCUUACAUGUGUCACAACU